CAAUAGCGUAUAUUAAAGUUGUUGCAGUUAAAAAGCUCGUAGUUGGAUUUCUGAUCGAGACAUCAGGUCGGGUCCGAGAGGAUCAUGUACUUUGAUUUUGUUUUGAUCAUCCUUGGGGAGAGCAUUUCUGGCAUUCAGUUGUCGGGAUUGGGAUCCUCAUCGUUUACUGUGAAAAAAUUAGAGUGUUCAAAGCAGGCCUCGGCCUCUGAAUACAUUAGCAUGGAAUAAUAAGAUAGGACUUUGGUGGUCUAUUUUGUUGGUUUGCACGCCGAAGUAAUGAUUAAUAGGGAUAGUUGGGGGUAUUCGUAUUCAAUUGUCAGAGGUGAAAUUCUUGGAUUUAUGGAAGACGAACUACUGCGAAAGCAUUUACCAAGGAUGUUUUCAUUAA
This 388-nucleotide ribosomal RNA is filed under the name uncultured eukaryote. Its description in RNAcentral is "partial 18S ribosomal RNA". It matches the Rfam family "Eukaryotic small subunit ribosomal RNA", at positions 592 to 976 of the family's 1831-position model. The record is from RNAcentral.